Molecule: long non-coding RNA, 478 nt
Filed under: Amborella trichopoda
Lineage: Eukaryota; Viridiplantae; Streptophyta; Magnoliopsida; Amborellales; Amborellaceae
Description: long non-coding RNA (ATRI_LNC005013)
Source: RNAcentral
UUGGGAGUUCAUUACAAUAGCAUUACAAAUGCUCGAAAUUACAAAACAAUACAAACACUCAAUACACUCAAAAUUAGGAGUCAUCGCCUUCUCUUGGGUUGAUACUACCUUUUUCGGGUAUUAUACCUUCUGGGCUUCUCAACCAUAGGUUGUGUGGACGGGGGUCAUGUCUUCUGUAGCACGACUACUUUCACCCACCACACCACUUCUCGGCUCGUCAUGUGCCCCUUCUUCAUUAAUUUGACGUUGUAAAUGUUUCAUCUUGGUUUCUAUUUCAUCCAUGUCCACAUGCAUAAACUUAGACAUCAUUUCACAUGUGUUGCUAACAUAAUUAUAAACUCCAGGAUACUACUUCUAAGUGCACAUGCCUUUGCCAUAGUUAGCAAUUUGGAGACUAUCAAUAAAUCGGCUUACCAAAAAAUCGGAAAGAAAUCAUUUUUAUUUUAAAAAGUCAGAUGAAAAAAUUAGUUAAAAAAAU